Molecule: ribosomal RNA, 253 nt
Filed under: uncultured bacterium
Lineage: Bacteria
Description: partial 16S ribosomal RNA
Rfam family: Bacterial small subunit ribosomal RNA
Source: RNAcentral
UACGAAGGGUGCUAGCGUUAUUCGGAAUUAUUGGGCGUAAAGGGUGCGUAGGCGGCGCGUUAAGUCAACUGUCAAAUCUCCAGGCCUAACUUGGAGCUUGCAGUAGAUACUGGCGUGCUAGAGGUUGGAAGAGAGAAGUGGAAUUCUCGGAGUAGCGGUAAAAUGCGUAGAUCUCGAGAGGAACACCGAUGGCGAAGGCAGCUUCUUGGUCCAAAUCUGACGCUGAGGCACGAAAGCGUGGGGAGCAAACAGG